RNAcentral lists this ribosomal RNA (396 nucleotides) under uncultured bacterium. RNAcentral's name for it is "bacterial SSU rRNA". It matches the Rfam family "Bacterial small subunit ribosomal RNA", at positions 957 to 1353 of the family's 1533-position model. The record is from RNAcentral.
UAACGCGAAGAACCUUACCAGGUCUUGACAUCCUUUGAAGCUUUUAGAGAUAGAAGUGUUCUCUUCGGAGACAAAGUGACAGGUGGUGCAUGGUCGUCGUCAGCUCGUGUCGUGAGAUGUUGGGUUAAGUCCCGCAACGAGCGCAACCCUUAUUGUUAGUUGCCAGCAUUCAGAUGGGCACUCUAGCGAGACUGCCGGUGACAAACCGGAGGAAGGCGGGAACGACGUCAGAUCAUCAUGCCCCUUAUGACCUGGGCUACACACGUGCUACAAUGGCGUAUACAACGAGUUGCCAACCCGCGAGGGUGAGCUAAUCUCUUAAAGUACGUCUCAGUUCGGAUUGUAGUCUGCAACUCGACUACAUGAAGUCGGAAUCGCUAGUAAUCGCGGAUCAGC